AUUGAACAAUAACAAUAUAUUGAUCAAUAUAUAAUCUUUUUCUGCAGUAGCUUGCUGUAAUAUCACUAGUAUAAUACUGUAAUAUGACAAGCAAUAUUGUGCUGUAAAACAUCUUCAAUGAGGAGGAGCAGUAGGACAUAGUAAAAACAAAAAUAGUAUUUAAUGUAUUUACAAUAAACAUACAAUCAUGUAAGUCAUAUACUUAACCUAAAUGUUUAAAUAUAAAUGUAUGUAUUUUGAGAAGAGAAAAAAUAAGAAAAAAUAUUUGAAAGAAGCAUUUGGAAAACUCUUCAGUGUCUGUUGACACAUUGAAAAUAGUGGAGAUAUUUUCAUAUAUUUUUCCUUUUCAAAUACAACUUGCAGGGUUUAAUGAGCUUUAUGUCUUCAUCCCUUCUUUGGGUAAACUGACACAUUCAUUAACACAUUUAACAACAUGGAUGUCCAUACUGUGGAUGUCCAUACUGUAGCUGUGUUCUGCAGGGUUUGGUUCAUUCCACUUAAACUCUAGUCAAUUCUGAAAGUAAACCAAAAUUACUGUAAGUAUACAUUUUCCUAAUUGAAGGCAUAGUGGAGAAUUUGAAUUUCAGCGCACUGCUUUAAUUGUCUGGAAAUGUCAACUAGCCUGGUUCCCUCCAGGUUAAGAUGCAUGUCUCAGAUUCAGCUCAAGGGGAGUUCAAUGCUUCUUGAACCAGAUUAUCAGCUGCUAAAACUCAAAAGGUCUGUACCACAAGGCAACAAUAUUAAGGGCAAAACUUUACAAGUGAGCAAGUAUUUACCAAAGUGCAAAAAAAAAAAAAUGAAUAAAUACACAAACCUAGUUAUAAUCUUUCAGUGUUGCUUAAUCUGAAAACCUCCUUCAACAAUGCGCCAUCAUGAGACGAUUAUAUUUCAUUCCAAUUUCAGCAACACUUUGUCACCUACUCUAAAAGUUUCGUAUUGAAUCAUACUGCCAGAUUGUAAUGGGGUUUGCGGACCUGGCACAUUUCUUUUGCAUGAGGAAGAAGUUGCCCUAAAUCUCAGCAACAGAAUGACAUGGUGUUUACAAAAGGCAAUGUUACACAAGUUCAUUUGUUCAUCACAAGGCAAAAAGCUUCAGGCACCAUCUUGCCCAAAGGAAACAGUCCUCCUGCCGCCGUGAAGAAAAGAAAGCCAGAAGCAGUAGAAGGUCCUGUCCCAAAUGGCUCACUAUUCGAACAUGGUGCACUAUUUCUUACCAGAGGUUUGAACAAGGCUCUUAGGGGCUUCCGGUCAAAAGAAGUGCACUACCUAAGGAACAAGGUGCCAUUGGGGACAUUAGACCACAUCAUACACCCUACAGUACACUGGCUGCUUUAAGAGAAUAGGCUACAUUUUACAGUGCACACGAUCAUAUGACACGCCCAGCCGGCCAGCCUCCUAAAGAUGACCCACCACAGCGCGGAGCCAACAGAACUGGCAGAGAGGCAGGCAUGGGGGGGGAGUAGGCACGGCUAGGAGCUGACAACCAUGAGUGAGCUUAGCUUCUAGCAUCGAGAAGUGACCUCUGCUGUAUCAGUCACCCCUAUGUCUUCCGUCGGAUCAAAGUAACAAAGAAGUACCAAGUAGCUUUGCUAUUAAUGAAAAAUUUAAAAUGCAUUGUUGAAAUUGACACAGGGAAAUUUCACUGGUAGAAAAGUGUACAUUAUUAACAAGUAACACAUCCUAAAUUACAUUGUAUUCUAGACCAAUAUAUAGCAUUUAUAGGCAAUAUUUUUGGAACAGACACCUAUAUCAUUAAUGGUACGACCACAUCAAUGUUGGGAUCCCCCCCAAGGCUACACACAGCUGAAGCUCCUUGGUCUGGAGUGAAGUCCCCCCUGGACGCUCAUCAUGGGUAUGCAUUGGGGAAGGAGAAACUGAUCCUAGAUCUGUACCUUGGGGAAAUUUAUUCUAGAUCUGUAACUGGGGGAAAUUGAUCCUAGAUCUGUAUCUGGGGGAAAUUGAUCCUAGAUCUGUACCUGGGAGAAAUUAAUCCUAGAUCUGUACCUGUGGGAAGCGGAUCCUAGAUCUGUACCUGUGGGAAGCGGAUCGUAGAUCUGUACCUAGGGGAAGCAGAUCCUAGAUCUGUCCCUCGGGGAAGCUGAUCCUAGACCUGUACCUGGGGGAAAUUGAUCCUAGAUCUGUACCUGGGGGAAAUUGAUCCCAGACCUGUACCUGGGGGAAAUUGAUCCUAGAUCUGUAACUGGGGGAAAUUGAUCCCAGAUCUGUACCUGGGGGAAAUUGAUCCUAGAUUUGUACCUGGGGGAAGCUGAUCUUAGAUCUGUACCUGGGGGAAAUUGACCCUAGAUGUGUACCUAAGGAAAACUAAUCCUAGAUCUGUACCCAGGGGAAGCUGAUCUUAGAUCUGUACCUGGGGGAAGUUGAUCUUAGAUCUGUACCUGGGGGAAAUUGACCCUAGAUGUGUACCUAGGGGAAACUGAUCCUAGAUCUGUACCUGGGGGAAUUUGAUCCUAGAUGUGUACCUAGGGGAAGCUGAUCCUAGAUCUGUACCUGGGGGAAGCUGAUCCUAGACGUGUACCUAGGGGAAACUUCACCCGGAGCCCAGAUCCUGUGUUUUGUGAUGUUUCGUUUUGGUAAAAAACACUUCCAUACAUGGGCAUUACAUUGGGUCACUUUGGCACAAAGAUGAAACACAGCACAGACAGAUGAAUAAUACAGUGAUCAGGAAGAUACAUGACGACCAGGAUUUAACCAACAAUUUAGACCACAGCCAAGAGCUACUCUAGAAGAGAGAAAGUCAUAACCAGUGUGUAAUUUUCAGAUUACACUAUCGCCAACUCAAUCAGGUAAAAAACAAGCUUCUCAGAAAACAAGUGGUCUAGGAACAGUCUUGCCUCAUACUGUAGCCUAAAUGAAAAGUAACGAAACAGAACAGGAGGUGACAAAUCCAAGAUUUCUGGAUAUAAAGUAUAACAAUGAACUGUACCUGUACAUUCUGUUGAAUAUAACCAACACAUCCUCACCUCAACACUGUCUCAUGACCUGUUGAAUAUAACCACCACAUCCUCACCUCAACACUGUCUCAUGACCUGUUGAAUAUAACCAACACAUCCUAACCUCAACACUGUCUCAUGACCUGUUGAAUAUAACCGACACAUCCUCACCUCAACACUGCUUGUGAUCUCUGUUGAACAUAAUAAACAAAUCCUCAGCUCAGCACUGUCUUGUGACCUCUGUAGUGACCAACAGCACUGAUUGUCUUAGAAGUCAUGGUAGUUAGUUCUAGUUUUCAGGGUAAUCAUGGUAGUCAGACAUGAUAGUCAUGGUAAUUAGUUUUAGUUUUCAGGGUAAUCAUGGUACUCAGACAUGAUAGUCAUAGUAGUUAGUUUUAGUUUUCAGGGUAAUCAUGGUAGUCAGACAUGAUAGUCAUGGUAAUUAGUUUUAGUUUUCAGGGUAAUCAUGGUACUCAGACAUGAUAGUCAUGGUAAUUAGUUUUAGUUUUCAGGGUAAUCAUGGUAGUCAGACAUGAUAUUCAUAGUAGUUAGUUUUAGUUUUCAGGGUAAUCAUGGUAGUCAGACAUGAUAGUCAUGGUUGUUAUGGAGGUGAGUCUUGACAGUCAUGGAACUGAAUCUUGGUAGUGAGUCUUGACAGUCAUGGAACUGAAUCUUGGUAGUGAGUCUUGACAGUCAUGGAACUGAAUCUUGGUAGUGAGUCUUGACAGUCAUGGAACUGAAUCUUGGUAGAGAGUCUUGACAGUCAUGGAACUGAAUCUUGGUAGUGAGUCUUGACAGUCAUGGAACUGAAUCUUGGUAGUGAGUCUUGACAGUCAUGGAACUGAAACUUGGUAGUGAGUCUUGACAGUCAUGGAACUGAAUCUUGGUAGUGAGUCUUGACAGUCAUGGAACUGAAUCUUGGUAGUGAGUCUUGACAGUCAUGGAACUGAAUCUUGGUAGUGAGUCUUGACAGUCAUGGCAGUUCAUUUUACUUAUCAUGGUAAUGAGUCAUGGUUGUAAUGGUAGCUAGUCAUGGUGCUCCAGGCAGUUUAUGGGGCCUGUCACUCUGACCUACCAGCAUGGUCCUUUAUCAGUCUAUGGGCCCUGUCACUCUGACCAACCAACAUGAUCCUAUAUCAGUCUAUGGGGCCUGUCACUCUGACCAACCAGCAUGGUCCUAUAUCAGUCUAUGGGCCCUGUCACUCUGACCUACCAGCAUGGUCCUAUAUCAGUCAAUGGGCCCUGUCACUCUGACUGACCAGCAUGGUCCUAUAUCAGUCUAUGGGGCCUGUC
Esox lucius (northern pike) is the source of this 4244-nucleotide long non-coding RNA. The record is from Ensembl. NCBI's taxonomy places the organism in Eukaryota, Metazoa, Chordata, Actinopteri, Esociformes, Esocidae.